Molecule: ribosomal RNA, 270 nt
Filed under: Mytilus galloprovincialis (Mediterranean mussel)
Lineage: Eukaryota; Metazoa; Mollusca; Bivalvia; Mytilida; Mytilidae
Rfam family: Eukaryotic small subunit ribosomal RNA
Source: RNAcentral
AAUGGUGCAUGGAAUAUGGAAUGGACCUCCGGUUCUUAUUUUGCUGGUUUUCGGAGCUCGAUUAAUGGUUAAGAGGGACUGACGGCAUUCGUAUUACGUGUUAGAGGUGAAAUUCUGAUCGCCGUAAGACGAACUACUCGAAAGCAUUUGCAAGCAUGUUUUCAUUAUCAAGAACGAGUCAGAGGUUCGAAGACGAUCAGAUACCGUCGUAGUUUGACCAUAACGAUGCCAACUAGGAUCCGCCGGAGUUGCUUCAAUGACUCGCAGGCA